RNAcentral lists this ribosomal RNA (440 nucleotides) under uncultured bacterium. RNAcentral describes it as "partial 16S ribosomal RNA". It matches the Rfam family "Bacterial small subunit ribosomal RNA", at positions 338 to 795 of the family's 1533-position model. The record is from RNAcentral.
CCUACGGGUGGCAGCAGUAGGGAAUAUUGCUCAAUGGGGGAAACCCUGAAGCAGCAACGCCGCGUGGGGGAUGAAGGUUUUCGGAUUGUAAACUCCUUUUGUUAGGGAAGAUAAUGACGGUAUCUAACGAAUAAGCACCGGCUAACUCCAUGCCAGCAGCCGCGGUAAUACGGGGGGUGCAAGCGUUACUCGGAAUAACUGGGCGUAAAGAGGGCGUAGGCGGGAUAGCAAGUCAGAUGUGAAAUCCUAUGGCUUAACCAUAGAACUGCAUUUGAAACUGUUGUUCUAGAGUGUGGGAGAGGUAGGUGGAAUUCUUGGUGUAGGGGUAAAAUCCGUAGAGAUCAAGAGGAAUACUCAUUGCGAAGGCGACCUGCUAGAACAUAACUGACGCUGAGGCGCGAAAGCGUGGGGAGCAAACAGGAUUAGAUACCCUAGUAGUC